This 77-nucleotide transfer RNA is filed under the name Chloroflexota bacterium. Its description in RNAcentral is "Chloroflexi bacterium tRNA-Glu". It matches the Rfam family "tRNA". Rfam says of the family: Transfer RNA (tRNA) molecules are approximately 80 nucleotides in length. Their secondary structure includes four short double-helical elements and three loops (D, anti-codon, and T loops). The record is from RNAcentral. Lineage: Bacteria; Bacillati; Chloroflexota.
GGGGCCGUCGCCUAGCGGUCUAGGGCGCCAGCCUUUCAAGCUGGAGGUCACGGGUUCGAAUCCCGUCGGCCCUACAA